ACUCCUUUAUUAAACAUAUUCAUACUAUUAUUCAAAUUAGAUAUACUAAAAUAUAAUUAAUUGCAUAUAUAUAUAUAUAUAUAUAUAUAUAUAGUUGUAAGAAUUUAUAAAUAAGCUAUGAAUAAGAAGAGUAGACGUAAAUUUACCUUAAUGUAUUUCUUCGAUUCUUUCACUAAUCUCUUAUGCAUUUUCAACUUUGGAACAUGUAAAAAAUGAUGUGUAUUCAUCCACAUAAAUAGAAAAAUACAAGAGAGAUUUGCAAAACUGCCCUUAUUCUAAUAACUUUUUGUAAAAAUGCCCUUUUCUGAAGGCCAUUUUUAAAACUACCCCUUCUAAUAUGGCAAAUGACUGUCUUACCCUUACUGAAUGAUUAGGUUUCACAUUCGUUUCACAAUCAAAUUCGUUUUGGCACAAACUUCUUCGUUUUGGCCAACGAAUUUUUCUCUCCGAUUUCACUCAAAAUCGCCGACGAAUUUCCUCUCCGAUUUCACUCAAAAUCGCCAACGAAUUUUCUCUCCGAGAAACCCCAAAAUCGCCGACGAAUUUCCUCUCCGAUAAACCUGUUCUUCGCUGAUUGAUUCAGAUCAUUUCUCUACGACGCAAACAAUCCCCAGAGAUAUCGAUAGAUCCGACGGUAACCGUUUUUAUAAUCGAUUUUAUAGUCGAUUUUAUAGUCGAUUUUAUAGUAGAUCUGACGAUGUUUCAUAACAUGUUUUGCAGAUGGAUUCAGAGAGUGAAAUCCUUACAUUGCCUGAACAGAUCUACAGAGAAGGUGAUGAAUCUAUUGCACUGGGAACCGUUCAACAAUACUCGGAUUGGAAUUUAGUUAGUAAAGUAGAGGAAGCUUUAGGCGAGUGUUUAUUUCAGAAGAUUAGAAGUUCGUUUCUUGGUCCUGUAGUUGAAUUGGGACCAAAAAUGAAGGCUAAGAAGGGAAUCAGAUUUUCUGGGAAAAUCUUUCACUAUCUCAUGCAGCAGAGAGUGAAAACAAAAGGAUCAACUCUUUGGUUUAGAGUUGAUUCUCAACCUAUCCAUUUCUCCUUGAGAGAGUUCUAUCUCACAACAGGUAAUAAAGUUUUACAAUCAUUUUUAAAGCUUAAUUAACUGUCGUAGAAUAAUUUACAAGGCAUUUGCAUAACUGUUUGCGUAGCUUACAAUUGUUUUUAAAACAUAAGUAAGUGUCAUAGAUAAUUUACAAGGGAUUUUAAAAGCUUUUAAAACGGGUUUACUUUAUUAACAAUCGUUUAAGAAGCAUAAGUUAGUGGCAGAUAAUGAUUUACAAGGGAUCCUGUAAAAGAACCAUACUUUUGGGCUAGUAAAGGAUCCUAUACUCUUGGUGAUCUCGAAGAUCGAUUGUUUUUAAAACCUAAGGAAGGUGAACCUGCUGUUGAAGAUGAAGAAAAGUUGUGUCUUGCUGCAGUAGUGUUGACUGAAGGAAUUCUUUUGACACCAUAUGGAAAAGAGAAGAUACCUUUGCCAAGAUUGCAGCAUGCUUCCGAUUUUGAGAUGUACACAGCCCAACCGUGGGGUAAAGAAGCAUUCAGUGUUCUAUCAAAUUCAAUUCUGAGAAUGGACGAGAAAACUUGGGCAAAAGAGAAAUAUGAUUUGAGAGGAUUUGGACUCGCGCUAACAAUAUGGGUGUUGAGCGCAGUUCCAGCAUUUGGUGCAACAUAUGGAGUUAAAGAUAAGGAAUUCCAAUCUGAAUCUCCAUUGAUAUUGAAGUGGAAAAGCACUACUACUCCAGAGUUUUUCAAGGUCGUAAACCUUGUAAAUGAUGUUUCUGAGGUAAGCUUUUGUCUAUUUACAGAAUUCUUAAAAUGGUUUUUAGAUUUGAAGUUCUGCUUUCUCAAGAUUUGUAAUGUUAUUGUAUCUUCGCAGAUGGAGGUGAAUACAAUUAUUGGAAACUCAGAAGAAUUCAAGUCUUUAGUUCCUGAUUUCCACACAGACGAAACAGAAUUCCAACAUAUUUUGGGACUUGUUAAUAUGGGCUGCAGAUUGAAGAAAACUGAAUGGAAUACAAGAUGCGUUGAUGUUUGUGCUGCCCUUGAAGAAGUAGGUCAAAACAAAAUCAAUAACAAAAUAUCUGAUAGCGAGAAGCUUGACAGGAUUUUGACAAUCUUU
This 2118-nucleotide small RNA is filed under the name Arabidopsis thaliana (thale cress). RNAcentral describes it as "ATSL154160". The record is from RNAcentral. Lineage: Eukaryota; Viridiplantae; Streptophyta; Magnoliopsida; Brassicales; Brassicaceae.